This is an RNA transcript of Aedes aegypti (yellow fever mosquito), 2009 nucleotides long. It is a transcript of the gene named zinc finger protein 189-like, with no coding region annotated. NCBI's taxonomy places the organism in Eukaryota, Metazoa, Arthropoda, Insecta, Diptera, Culicidae. The transcript has 5 exons. The record is from RefSeq and is a predicted model, not a curated record.
UAUUCCAAUUUUCAAACCAGCCAAACUUUUAAUGGCAAAUUGAGUUCGGUUUCAUUCAAACUGCAAGAACAUGGAAACUAAAGUCUUUGAAUUCAGAACUUUUAAGGGCGUAGAAAGAGAAAAAUUCGAUCAUAAAUGUCGGCUCUGUUUGAGCACAGAGACUCUCGAGAAAGUCAUAAAGGGAGGAGAACUUGCCAAAUGCAUUUCGGACCUUCUCGCAAUACAGGUAACCGGUACGGACGGCUUUAGUCAGCUUAUCUGCGCUACUUGUCGGAAUCGGGUGAACGAGUUCCAAAAAUUUAAAGAACGCUGCCAGGAAGUGCAAGGAAGACUGAUAUUUGCGAAGAAAGACGUAAUCUGGCCGUGUUACAAAUGUCCCAAGGUGUUUAAAGGAAAGAGGCAAUUGAAGGAUCACUUAAGGUACCACGGACCGAAAUGUUUUACUUGUACCGUUUGCGGAAAGGGGUUUGCAAGGAAGUCAUUGCUAGUUACCCACUCUAGGAUUCACGCGGAAGGCUAUCCGAGCAGACGGCUUAAAUCUAAGUUGAAUGUGCAGCAAAAUGUGGAUGCGCAGCCGGAAGUGAAAAUUGAGCCAAAAGAGGAAAAUGAUUUUUCAAGCGAAUCGGAGCAAGAAACAGGACAGCACGAUGUUGAAAAUGAAGAGGAACUCAGUUUAGAUAAUUCCAGCGAUUUACAGCUGCAGAACAUUCCAAUCAAGCAGGAAACUGCGGAACAUGCAUCGAUGAUUGACGAUGUAGGGGCUGAAAGUGAUUCUUUUGUUGUAGAGGAUAUGGUUGAAAUACAGCAAGUAAAACUUGAAGUUUGUUCCGAUGAUGAAGAAGAGAGGCCAACCACUCAAACAUCUGCAGAACUGAGUGAAACUUCACCAGCAUCACGUUCAAAACGAAAAAAGCCGAUCGGAGUAGGACCUUUAACGUGCGAUUUGUGUCAAAAGGAUUUCUGGCUGCAAAUUAGACUUGAUCAACACAUGAAAAGAAAACACGACACCAAAAAACUCUGCACUGCUGGGAACGAGGUCAAUAUAAGCGAUUGAUUGGAGAUAUUGCAAUUUUGAUGCCAAGAGAUUUAUAGAAAUCUUAUAGAUCUAACUGCUCAUCGAAAUAUAUUAAGAACUAUCUUCGAUAAAUUUUAAUGCAUACACAAAACCUUGGAAAAAGAACAACCAAAUUUGUUAAUGACUAACUGAAUCAUAUGCAUUCGACGAAGCUGCUAUAUUGAAACGCCGAUGCUGUCUACCAAGAGUAUUUUGCUAUUCCGUUGCAAAGGGUAAAAAGAUAACUAGGCACUUCCAUGUUUCACUUUGGCAUGAGGGUUUUUCUGGAACAAAGUAUCUGAAUCUUUUAAAUAAGAAGCACUUCAAUACGACGCAUAUUGUGGGCAAAUAUGAGUUCAUUAGCUGCGCCAAAAAGCACCAGUGAAAAAGAAUCAAAAGUGCCAAUAAUAUGAUCCGGCUUUUUAUCAAAUGCAUGAAUGGCCUAGUUUUCCUGAAUAAAGGAACAGUGCUGAAAAGUGCUACUUUUCUCUUCUGUGUCGAAAAGUAGCACUUUUCAGUAUUGUUUUCUGGGAGUCGUCAACUAAAUAUCAGAAUAUUUUCAUUAAUAGAAUGGUUUGAUCGAAACUUUUCCGGGUUUCUCAAUGAUUUUAUCAACUAGCUUCUGAUUCUACAUAGGCCAGGAGAAGUGGAUGAACUUUUCAUUCAUUUUUCUGUCAAUUCUUAUACAAAAUGUACUUUUUCUCUGACAGAAAUUCACUCUAGGUGAACCACUUCCCCUGGCCUAUGUAUUGAGACAUCCAAAUCGGACUCAGGAAUGUUUUGAAUUCGCACCACCAGCGGACCUAGAGGAGGUUGUGGAGGUGAUGGUUCGUGAAGGAGAAGGUAGUUUAGCAUGUGAGCAGAGUGGUCAAAAAUUGUAUGCGGCGUUUUACCUGAUUAGUUUAAAAAUAUAGAAUGCAGAUCAAUAUGAUAUUGAUGGAAGAGUGUAAAUGAA